Molecule: small RNA, 152 nt
Filed under: Drosophila guanche
Lineage: Eukaryota; Metazoa; Arthropoda; Insecta; Diptera; Drosophilidae
Source: RNAcentral
GACUGGGGGCUGCUGCUGCUGCUGCUGCUGCUGCUGCUGCUGCUGCUGCUGCUGACACACUGGCCGAGUUCGAAGGAAUGCCGAGCAGCAGCAGACGCAGCAGCACUGCGGCUGCCAUCUUAAUUUGCAUGCAUUUGCUGUCUCCGCGAGUG